GUGAUGCUCUUCCGCUGGAUACACCCCUGUCAGGCACGUCAAGAGCCCAUGUGGAAUUUUGACCAGGCCAGUCCCCGGACCCUGCAGCAGUUCUUCGGCGUGAAGCAUGAAGACAUGUGGAAGCUGCUCUUCAAGAACCAGAAGUCAUGGCCGGAGACAACCGAAGACCUCGGCUACGACAACACCCACGCUGCGACCACCGGCUGGACAAAGAAAGUGGAAUGGAUUCAUUGUCCGGCUCUGCUGCCUGAAGAUGGAGAUAUUCCUCAGUUGAUGAGGAUGCUAGUCCCGACACCGUUCCAGGCACCGGGAAAGAAGGCCAAGGAGGCCAAGAGUGGCCUUCCCCGUAAAGGCGCCUCCGACGUAGUGUCUGAAGACACUGAAACUCUCUCCUCCCCUGACGAAGAGGAAGAUGAGGAGGAAGAGAGUGAUCCCCUACCCAAGGUGGAGAAGAAGAAGAAGAAGACAGCUUCCGCCGAUCUAGAGGCAGAAGUGUCCAAGAAAGGGAGGGCCUCCCUUACGGAUGACUCCAAGUCAGAUGCUGAUGAGUGGCGCCCCUGGCCGGAUCAUAAGUACUCAAAGGUAUAUAUAUAUAUAUAUAUAUAUAUAUAUAUAUAUAUAUAUAUAUAUGCCCGGCUUUUCAGGCUUAUA
RNAcentral lists this ribosomal RNA (651 nucleotides) under Triticum aestivum (bread wheat). RNAcentral's name for it is "partial small subunit ribosomal RNA". The record is from RNAcentral. Lineage: Eukaryota; Viridiplantae; Streptophyta; Magnoliopsida; Poales; Poaceae.